UCUGUAAUCUUCCUGCUUUCACAUGCUGAAAAUUGUAUUUAUCUCGUUAUUAGUAGAUCGGUUUUUGUUAUUAAUCCAUUGAGUAUCAUAGUGUUCUUGUUGUGCAGUCGAAUUUUCUUUUCUUUUUUGUUUUAGUUUCUUUAAGUUUCUCUUUCUGUAAUCUUUUAUUUCUCUUUUCAUUCUAGUUGGUAUUUGACUUCGGCAGGUCUAGACACUACUGUUGGUAGGGUUUGUGAAAGGCCAAGCAUCUGUAUAGGUAGCUCAUCUGUUUUAUCAAGCAUCAAAAGGAUUUGAAGGUGGUUUUAUCAUGUGCCCCAUGACAUAAUGACGUUUUAGGUCUUCAACCGGGCCCGAUGAAUGGACAUCGAACACAAGUUCUUUGGUAGGUAGGAAACAAAAAUUUGGAAUCGAAGUCGCAAUCUACCUAUAAAAUUACUUGAAUGAAAGAGUUGAAGUGGCAUGUAGUGCUAAACGGGGAGAUUCAUUUCUACCUAUGUAUUGUUAUUGUCUUUUGUUUUAGUCAACAAAGUCAGUGGUACAUAAACCAAAUGUAAGCAUGGCAAAAAUCCCAGAACUCUUGAAUUUCCUGUAUGUAUAGAAAUUCAACCAAAAGCUGACAUCAAUGAAUCACCUAACUCUUUUGUCUUCACAUUCAGUUAAGAAAACAGUCUCUAAAGUUGAUAUCGGAAAGCUCUAAAUAAAGGUGUGGUGGCGAAGUUUGCUCCUACUAAAUCUUGCCGUUUAUGUAGCAGGAGGAGAUGGAAGAAAAUGGCGCGGUCUGGAAUAAGCGAUGAAGUGCAGAAUAAUGAGGAUGAAACAUUAUAGAUAGACAUUCAAAAGAGAUUCUUAAUUUAGAAAAAAA
Molecule: long non-coding RNA, 862 nt
Filed under: Carica papaya (papaya)
Lineage: Eukaryota; Viridiplantae; Streptophyta; Magnoliopsida; Brassicales; Caricaceae
Description: long non-coding RNA (CPAP_LNC000228)
Source: RNAcentral